This 301-nucleotide ribosomal RNA is filed under the name uncultured bacterium. RNAcentral's name for it is "partial 16S ribosomal RNA". It matches the Rfam family "Bacterial small subunit ribosomal RNA", at positions 509 to 807 of the family's 1533-position model. The record is from RNAcentral.
CAGCCGCCGCGGUAAUACAGAGGGUGCGAGCGUUAAUCGGAUUUACUGGGCGUAAAGCGUGCGUAGGCGGCUUCUUAAGUCGGAUGUGAAAUCCCUGAGCUUAACUUAGGAAUUGCAUUCGAUACUGGGAAGCUAGAGUAUGGGAGAGGAUGGUAGAAUUCCAGGUGUAGCGGUGAAAUGCGUAGAUAUCUGGAGGAAUACCGAUGGCGAAGGCAGCCAUCUGGCCUAAUACUGACGCUGAGGUACGAAAGCAUGGGGAGCAAACAGGAUUAGAUACCCCUGUAGUCCCUGUCUCUUAUAC